Arachis ipaensis is the source of this 244-nucleotide non-coding RNA. The record is from RefSeq and is a predicted model, not a curated record. NCBI's taxonomy places the organism in Eukaryota, Viridiplantae, Streptophyta, Magnoliopsida, Fabales, Fabaceae.
CUGGUCUGGUGCUGCUAUCUAAUUUUUUUAGUAAUUCAAUUUUAAUUUAAAAAAGUUGAAUUAAAAUUAAAAUCAAAACUUCUGUUCUUGUUCAACGGGCAACAAGGAGUUUUCGAAACUGCUCCUUCUUUUUUUUUUUGUCUUUUCUUUUCUUCCUCUCUUUCUUUUCCUAAAUCUCUUGCGAGCUCCACUUUGAUUCCCGCCAAUUCUCUGUUUGCAGAGAAUGCUAUGGAUGAAUUGAAAU